UGGGGAAUAUUGGACAAUGGGCGCAAGCCUGAUCCAGCCAUGCCGCUUGAGUGAUGAAGGCCUUUGGGUUGUAAAGUUCUUUCACCGGAGAAGAUAAUGACGGUAUCCGGAGAAGAAGCCCCGGCUAACUUCGUGCCAGCAGCCGCGGUAAUACGAAGGGGGCUAGCGUUGUUCGGAAUUCCUGGGCGUAAAGCGCACGUAGGCGGAUCGAUCAGUCAGGGGUGAAAUCCCAGAGGUCAACUCUGGAACUGCCUUUGAUACUGUCGUUCUAAAGUAUGGAAGAGGUGAGUGGAAUUCCGAGUGUAGAGGUGAAAAUCGUAGAUAUUCGGAGGAACACCAGUGGCGAAGGCGGCUCACUGGUCCAUUACUGACGCUGAGGUGCGAAAGCGUGGGGAGCAAACAGG
RNAcentral lists this ribosomal RNA (404 nucleotides) under bacterium. Its description in RNAcentral is "partial 16S ribosomal RNA". It matches the Rfam family "Bacterial small subunit ribosomal RNA", at positions 355 to 776 of the family's 1533-position model. The record is from RNAcentral.